CCUACGGGAGGCAGCAGUGAGGAAUAUUGGUCAAUGGGCGCGAGCCUGAACCAGCCAAGUCGCGUGAGGGAAGACGGUCCUAUGGAUUGUAAACCUCUUUUGUCGGGGAGCAAAAGACGCCACGCGUGGCGUUCCGAGAGUACCCUAAGAAAAAGCAUCGGCUAACUCCGUGCCAGCAGCCGCGGUAAUACGGAGGAUGCGAGCGUUACCCGGAUUUAUUGGGUUAAAAGGGUGCGCAGGCGGAAGAUCAAGGCAGCGGUAAAAUUGAGAGGCUCAACCUCUUCGAGCCGUUGAAACUGGUUUUCCUGAGUGAGCGAGAAGUAGGCGGAAUGCGUGGUGUAGCGGGGAAAUGCAUAGAUAUCACGCAGAACUCCGAUUGCGAAGGCAGCAUACCGGCGCUCAACUGACGCUCAUGCACGAAAGUGUGGGUAUCGAACAGGAUUAGAGACCCUGGUAGUC
RNAcentral lists this ribosomal RNA (459 nucleotides) under uncultured bacterium. RNAcentral's name for it is "partial 16S ribosomal RNA". It matches the Rfam family "Bacterial small subunit ribosomal RNA", at positions 338 to 795 of the family's 1533-position model. The record is from RNAcentral.